GAUGAACGCUAGCGAUAGGCCUAACACAUGCAAGUCGAGGGGCAUCACAUGAAGUAGCAAUACGGAUGGUGGCGACCGGCGCACGGGUGAGUAACACGUAUGCAACCUGCCUUCAACAAGGGGAUAACCCGUUGAAAGACGGACUAAUACCCUAUAACACAGGGGUCCCGCAUGGGAAUAUUUGUUAAAGGACAACCGGUUGAAGAUGGGCAUGCGUUCCAUUAGCUAGUUGGCGGGGUAACGGCCCACCAAGGCAACGAUGGAUAGGGGAACUGAGAGGUUUAUCCCCCACACUGGUACUGAGACACGGACCAGACUCCUACGGGAGGCAGCAGUGAGGAAUAUUGGUCAAUGGGCGAGAGCCUGAACCAGCCAAGUCGCGUGCAGGAAGAAUGUCCUAUGGAUUGUAAACUGCUUUUGCAGGGGAAUAAAGUGAGCCACGUGUGGUUUUUUGUAUGUACUCUGCGAAUAAGGAUCGGCUAACUCCGUGCCAGCAGCCG
This 500-nucleotide ribosomal RNA is filed under the name uncultured bacterium. RNAcentral's name for it is "bacterial SSU rRNA". It matches the Rfam family "Bacterial small subunit ribosomal RNA", at positions 28 to 517 of the family's 1533-position model. The record is from RNAcentral.